This 68-nucleotide transfer RNA is filed under the name Marmota marmota marmota (Alpine marmot). It matches the Rfam family "tRNA". Rfam says of the family: Transfer RNA (tRNA) molecules are approximately 80 nucleotides in length. Their secondary structure includes four short double-helical elements and three loops (D, anti-codon, and T loops). The record is from Rfam by way of RNAcentral. RNAcentral also lists the same sequence under 1 other name. Lineage: Eukaryota; Metazoa; Chordata; Mammalia; Rodentia; Sciuridae.
GUUGUGGCUUAGUGGUAGAGUGCUUGCUUAGCAUGCAUGAGGCACUGGGUUCGAUCCCUGGCACGACA